AUAUGGAUUGUGUCAGCAGCCGCGCGGUAAUACGGAGACUGCGAGCGUUACUCGGAUUUACUGGGCGUAAAGGGUCCGUAGGCGGACAUGUGUGUCGGGUGUGAAAUCCUGCAGCUCAGCUGCAGAACUGCGCCCGAAACUACAUGUCUAGAGUAUUGGAGAGGUGAGUGGAAUCCCAGGUGUAGCGGUGAAAUGCGUAGAUAUCUGGAGGAACACCAACGGCGAAGGCAGCUCACUGGACAAUUACUGACGCUGAGGGACGAAAGCAUGGGGAGCGAAAGGGAUUAGAUACCCCUGUAGUCCAUGCCGUAAACGUUGUGCACUCGCUAUUGGCGGCUUCGACCCCGUCAGUGGCUAAGCUAACGCGAUAAGUGCACCGCCUGAGGACUACGGCCGCAAGGCUAAAACUCAAAGGAAUUGACGGGUCCCCGCACAAGCGGUGGAGCAUGUGGCUUAAUUCGAUGCAACGCGAAGAACCUUACCAGGCCUUGACAUGUAGUGGACCGGUGCAGAGAUGCACCUUCUCUUCGGAGCCGCUUCACAGGUGCUGCAUAGCUGUCGUCAGCUCGUGUCGUGAGAUGUUCGGUUAAGUCCGUCAACGAGCGCAACCCCUGUCCUUAGUUGCCAGCAUUCAGUUGGGGACUCUAAGGAGACAAUCCCGCAUCUGCGGGAGGGAAGGUGGGGAUGAUGUCAAGUCAGUAUGGCCCUUACGGCCUGGGCUGCACACGUGCUACAAUGCCCGGUACAGUGGGAUGCUACUCCGCAAGGAGAUGCCAAACCCCAAAGCCGGGCCCAGUUCGGAUUGGAGUCUGCAACUCGACUCCAUGAAGUCGGAAUCGCUAGUAAUGGCUUAUCAGCAACGAAGCCGUGAAUACGUUCCCGGGGAUUGUACACACCGCCCGUCA
This 905-nucleotide ribosomal RNA is filed under the name uncultured bacterium. RNAcentral's name for it is "bacterial SSU rRNA". It matches the Rfam family "Bacterial small subunit ribosomal RNA", at positions 496 to 1399 of the family's 1533-position model. The record is from RNAcentral.